Molecule: ribosomal RNA, 304 nt
Filed under: uncultured Glomus
Lineage: Eukaryota; Fungi; Glomeromycota; Glomeromycetes; Glomerales; Glomeraceae
Description: partial 25S rRNA
Source: RNAcentral
CAGUUUGGAACAAGAGUCCACUAUUAAAGAAACGUGGGACUCCAACGUCAAAGGGCGAAAAAACCGUCUNUCAGGGCGAUGGCCCNCUACGUGAACCAUCACCCUAAUCAAGUUUUUUUGGGGUCGAGGUGCCGUAAAGCACUAAAUCGGGAACCCUAAAGGGAGCCCCCGAUUUAGAGCUUGACGGGGAAAGCCGGCGAACGUGGCGAGAAAGGAAGGGAAGAAAGCGAAAGGAGCGGGCGCUAGGGCGCUGGCAAGUGUAGCGGUCACGCUGCGCGUAACCACCACACCCGCCGCGCUUAAU